AGAGUUUGAUCAUGGCUCAGGAUGAACGCUAGCGGCAGGCUUAAUACAUGCAAGUCGAGGGGCAACAGGGGUAGCGAUACCUGCUGGCGACCGGCAAACGGGUGCGCAACACGUACAGAACCUUCCUUUAAGCGGGGGAUAGCCCAGAGAAAUUUGGAUUAAUACCCCAUAGUAUUAUUGUCUGGCAUCAGAUGGUAAUUAAAGAUUUAUCACUUAGAGAUGGCUGUGCGUCUGAUUAGGUAGUUGGUGCGGGUAAUGGCCUACCAAGCCUUCGAUCAGUAACUGGUGUGAGAGCACGACCAGUCACACGGGCACUGAGACACGGGCCCGACUCCUACGGGAGGCAGCAGUAAGGAAUAUUGGUCAAUGGAGGCAACUCUGAACCAGCCAUGCCGCGUGAAGGAUGAAGGUCCUCUGGAUUGUAAACUUCUUUUAUGUGGGAAGAAAUGCAUUCUUUAUAGAGUGUUUGACGGUACCAUAGGAAUAAGCACCGGCUAACUCCGUGCCAGCAGCCGCGGUAAUACGGAGGGUGCGAGCGUUAUCCGGAUUCACUGGGUUUAAAGGGUGCGUAGGUGGGUUUGUAAGUCAGUGGUGAAAUCUCCGUGCUUAACAUGGAAACUGCCAUUGAUACUACAGGUCUUGAAUUUUCCGGAGGUUAGCGGAAUAUGUCAUGUAGCGGUGAAAUGCUUAGAUAUGACAUAGAACACCAAUUGCGAAGGCAGCUAACUACAGGGAUAUUGACACUGAGGCACGAAAGCGUGGGGAUCAAACAGGAUUAGAUACCCCGGUAGUCC
RNAcentral lists this ribosomal RNA (794 nucleotides) under uncultured Segetibacter sp. RNAcentral's name for it is "bacterial SSU rRNA". It matches the Rfam family "Bacterial small subunit ribosomal RNA", at positions 8 to 796 of the family's 1533-position model. The record is from RNAcentral. Lineage: Bacteria; Pseudomonadati; Bacteroidota; Chitinophagia; Chitinophagales; Chitinophagaceae.